RNAcentral lists this ribosomal RNA (258 nucleotides) under uncultured bacterium. RNAcentral describes it as "partial 16S ribosomal RNA". It matches the Rfam family "Bacterial small subunit ribosomal RNA", at positions 524 to 776 of the family's 1533-position model. The record is from RNAcentral.
UACGUAGGGUGCGAGCGUUAAUCGGAAUUACUGGGCGUAAAGUGUGCGCAGGCGGCCGCGCAAGUCGAGUGUGAAAGCCCCCGGCUUAACUGGGGAGGGUCAUUCGAUACUGUUCGACUCGAAGGCAGGAGAGGGAAGUGGAAUUCCCGGUGUAGUGGUGAAAUGCGCAGAUAUCAGGAGGAACACCGGUGGCGGAAGGGCGGGUCUCUGGGGCCAUAACCUGACGCUGAGGAGGCGAAAGCGUGGGGAGCGAACAGG